CGGUUGUGCUGACCCCUGUGAAUUCCCCACAUGCGGGAAUCUCAACUGCAUAAUUUGUGGUAGUGGGGGACUGCGUUCGCGCUCUCCCCUCACUCUUGUGUCCAAUAGCAAAUGUAGACGGAGGGGCUACUCGCUUUUCCUUUCUCUUUCGCCCCCACUUGCGCUACUGCUUUCUCUCUCUCUCACUCUCCUGUGCUUGCUCCCGCUCCGCGCUUACAGGAGUCCACCUGUAUAUUGAUUACAGGGCGGCGUGUACCUGUAUAAAGGGAAGCCGGGUUUUCUCGUUGGAUUAUUUCCUCCCGAGCUUCUGGUGCGAUACAGCGGUAGACGCUGGCUUGUUGGUUAAAUUACUGAGGCGAUCAGGUCAUGUGAUUGCUACAGGUAGGUCUCCCCUUCGAUUUCUGAUUUCUCCCUAACGUCGGCAAUUAGUAGUUAUAUUUUUGCGGCCCGCUACAGCGCGGCUGUUUUUCUUUCCUUUGCUCCAGCCGUGGUGAGGAGACGCGUGAGUGCAUCCGCCGUGCAGUACAGUGCCUCCAAGUUCUGGGGGUUUGAUUGCUGCCGUGCCCUCUCGGGGACCAACCGCCUGCUUUGGUUACGUAGAGAGUCGGGCGCCUGCUCUGCUGCUGUCUUGUUUUGUUGAUCUUGUUUGUUUGAUUUUGUUUUGCCCUGUUUUGUUUUGUGUUGUUUUGGUUAUAUUACGGUUAAUCUGUCGGCGGCCCGGUUUUUCCUUGUAGCUUGCCUUGCCACGCCCUCUUGGACUAUCGUUCGCUCCAGCUUUUUGUGGCUGGCCGGGGCGAUUCUCGGCUGUAUAUUGGGCUGGUUAUACAAACUGGUACUGCCUCUCCCCUUUCUCCCAGCUGUGGGAAGUUGUGUGAGACCGAGCAGACCAAGGACAAUCGGACCCAGCACCAGCUGUGGGCUGGUUCGCCGAGCGAAAGUAUUUCUAACCAGUGCUCUGUGGUGUAUAUCUGGGUGUGUUGUAUCACAGACUUUGGUUUUCCUUUAAUUGUUUCUUUUUUUUGUUUUGUAGGUUGAGAGCCUGUUUGUGUCCCAUGUUUUUCACCUUUUAAUGUGUAUGUUCUGUAUUUUUAUUGUAGUGGACGGAGGAUCUACCAGCGGCUGUGGGACCGUAGGUGGUGGGUCGUUUUCCACGCUUCUUUUGUUGUACAGCACCAGGUGAAAAGACUGUAGUAGGUUUCCUUUGUGUGGUUGUGCUGACCCCUGUGAAUUCCCCACAUGCGGGAAUCUCAACUGCAUAAUUUGUGGUAGUGGGGGACUGCGUUCGUGCUCUCCCCUCACUCUUGUGUCCAAAAGCAAAGAUCCAUGUGUCUGCUCUUCUCUCCGUCUGGCCUUUGAACUGGGACAAAAUGCAAUGGCGUGCUCACCGUCACUGGAUUCAGGCAUUAUGCGUGCUAGGCACCAUCAGCCAGAGUGCUGCAUGUGGAAAGGGGACCCCUGUCUCCCACACUGCCAACUCAUACUUACCUGGCAGGGGGAUACCAUGAUCACGAAGGUGGUUCGCCCAGGGCGAGGCUCAGCCAUUGCACUGCGGUUGUGCUGACCCCUGUGAAUUCCCCACAUGCGGGAAUCUCAACUGCAUAAUUUGUGGUAGUGGGGGACUGCGUUCGCGCUCUCCCCU
Molecule: long non-coding RNA, 1639 nt
Organism: Oreochromis niloticus (Nile tilapia)
Lineage: Eukaryota; Metazoa; Chordata; Actinopteri; Cichliformes; Cichlidae
Exons: 2
Source: RefSeq, a predicted model, not a curated record